AAACCUCAACCUAGACUUGGGUUUUGUUACCCAUAUCUAGAGUUGGACUUGGGCAUUUGUUGGUGCAAACCGACUUGCCUUAAAUGUAUUAGCAGCCCUUCUUCAUGAGCGGUUUGACUUGGCGUUAUAAGCUUUCGCUGAGGAUCAUCUUCGGAUGGACCGCUCUUGUUGAUACAACUGCUCUCUAAAUGACUGUUCAGCCUUGCUUUCAUCGGCAUCUGGACAUAUUUUGAC
This 234-nucleotide unclassified non-coding RNA is filed under the name uncultured fungus. RNAcentral's name for it is "sequence contains ITS2". The record is from RNAcentral. Lineage: Eukaryota; Fungi.